GCGUUUGUAGUCCAACGGUUAGGAUUAUUGUCUUCCAAGCAAUAGACCCGGGUUCGACUCCUGUCAAAUGCA
Molecule: transfer RNA, 72 nt
Filed under: Salvia splendens (bonfire salvia)
Lineage: Eukaryota; Viridiplantae; Streptophyta; Magnoliopsida; Lamiales; Lamiaceae
Rfam family: tRNA
About the family: Transfer RNA (tRNA) molecules are approximately 80 nucleotides in length. Their secondary structure includes four short double-helical elements and three loops (D, anti-codon, and T loops).
Source: Rfam by way of RNAcentral